CACUGAUGGAAUUGCAUCUCAGAAGAAAGUGGAAAUAAACCAGACAUCCCAGGCAGACAGAAUAGCUGGAGCAAUGAUAACGUGUCUUAUGAGUCACUUCAAAUUCAGUACUUUAACUGCAGAUCUUCCUCUUUAUUUUCAAUAUUGGAUUGCAUAUUAACAGAUUUGAACAUAAAGCAAGAACAGUUUAUUCGUGACUUCUUAAAAAAAAACAGGCCAUUCAAAUCAAACAUGCCUAUAUGGCACUGAUUUAAAGAGAAGUCCUAGAUGCUCUAUUAGAAUAUGAUUUCUCCACUAUGAUGUUUCUACUGUUCAAGAACUCUUUCAACAAAUAGAGCAAAUAGCAAUUUCAAGUUUUUUUCUAAAACUCAUCUGUUUUUAAAAGAUAAUAAAGAAUAUAGGAUUAAAAUAGUGAUACAUGUGAUCCUACAUAUGAGAAAAAAUGCAUUUUAAAAAAUGUAUUCUGAUUGAAGAAAACAAAAUAUAAACAAAGUACUAGAUUUUACUAUAAGUUUAUUCAAAAAGUUUGAAAAAAAUUAAGAAAUUCAUUAAAGCAAAGAGCAGACCAAAAAUAAAAAUAAAUUCACAACAACUGAUUUUCCAUGUUUCAGGAGGGCUGCAGAUGGAGUACAGUGUUCAGAGAAGUUCACAAGGACCAGGAAGGUCAGUAUAAGGUGAUUCUUUGGUGGAUUGUAUCACUGACCUCAACUCUUUCCACACCCUUCUACCUAUAUCCUGUCCAUGGAUUUACUAUUGCCAGAGAAUAUGUGCCCAUCCCUUAACUUUGGUCUCUACCCUGUGAUUUUCUUUAACCACAGAAUGAAAGCAGAAGUGACAGUGUCACACUCUGAGCAUGAGUCAAAGAGACUGUUCAGUUUCUGAUUGUCAUUUGUUCCUUACAUAUUCACAUCAGAUGUUCAUCACAAUUAUUAAAGUAAGUCCUACAGCUCCACAUAUAAGGAAUGAUGGGCAUGUGGAAGAGAACGACUUCAAAACAACCCACAGAAUUGCAGCAAUGAGAAAAAGCUCCCAGCCACAAAACCCUGAAUAAAGCACUUAUCUUGGCCCAGCCAAUCUGCAGACA
Non-coding RNA from Ictidomys tridecemlineatus (thirteen-lined ground squirrel), 1084 nucleotides. NCBI's taxonomy places the organism in Eukaryota, Metazoa, Chordata, Mammalia, Rodentia, Sciuridae. The record is from RefSeq and is a predicted model, not a curated record.